CCUCACGGCUCUGGGGGAAGCCACAGACCUCAGCUGUACAAGCUGAGCCUGGACUAGAGGAACUUUCCGCGGGACUCGGGACAAACAGCCGCACCGACACGACUGUCUGCGAGCCUGAGUCCCAGACGAGCGCCGGCGGCGGCAGGUACUCCGCGCCCCCGCGGCAGGGCCUAGGCAGUGCAGCGGGGUCGGCGGCGGCGGCGGCGGGAGGGUCCCGGGCUGCCGAGGUCUUGCCAGUGCGCGCGCGCCAGCCGCCUCCCCUCCGCCCCUCGCUGCCGGCCUCGGGCAUCCACGGCCGGUCGUCCAGCCGCCCGCCACGGCCCUGAACAUGGCCGCAAGCCCCGCUGCCCCCCUGGCCUGGGCGCUGCUACUCCUCUCGUGGGCUCUGCUCCGCGGCGGCUGCGGGGCGCGCUUCGCUGCCGAGCCGGACUCCGAAGACGACGAAGCGGAGGCGGUAGUAUUCCCCGAGUCGCCCCUGCAGAGACCCACGGUGAUGGUGGUCGUCCUCGCGCGUAACGCUGCGCACACGCUGCCUCACUUCCUCGGCUGCCUGGAGCGGCUGGACUACCCCAAGAGCAGGAUGGCCAUCUGGGCAGCCACUGAUCACAAUGUGGAUAAUACAACAGAAAUACUCAGGGAGUGGUUGAAAAAUGUCCAGAGAGCCUAUCACUAUGUGGAAUGGAGGCCUAUGGAUGAACCUGAGUCUUAUCCUGAUGAAAUUGGACCAAAGCACUGGCCUGGCUCCCGUUUUGCCCAUGUGAUGAAACUACGACAGGCAGCCCUUCGAACUGCGAGGGAAAAAUGGUCAGACUACAUUCUGUUCAUAGAUGUUGACAACUUCCUGACUAAUCCACAGACCCUCAAUCUACUGAUUGCAGAAAACAAAACCGUUGUGGCCCCCAUGCUGGAGUCUCGGGGCCUGUACUCUAAUUUCUGGUGCGGAAUCACACCUCAGGGCUUCUAUAAACGGACCCCAGACUAUCUUCAGAUUAGAGAAUGGAAGAGGUUGGGCUGCUUUCCGGUCCCCAUGGUCCACUCCACGUUCCUAAUUGACCUCAGGAAGGAAGCCUCUGACAAGCUGAUGUUCUACCCCCCGCACCAGGACUACACCUGGACCUUUGAUGACAUCAUCGUCUUUGCCUUCUCCAGCAGGCAAGCAGGCAUCCAGAUGCACCUCUGCAACAGAGAGCACUACGGCUACCUGCCCAUCCCCCUGAAGCCCCAUCAGACCCUACAGGAGGACAUUGAGAACCUCAUCCAUGUGCAGAUAGAAGCAAUGAUUGACCAUCCUCCAAUGGAACCUUCCCAGUUCGUCUCAGUUGUCCCUAAAUAUCCAGACAAGAUGGGAUUCGAUGAGAUUUUCAUGAUAAACCUGAAGCGCAGAAAGGACAGGCGGGACCGGAUGUUACGUACCCUGUACGAGCAGGAGAUUGAGGUCAAGAUUGUCGAGGCUGUGGAUGGAAAGGCACUCAACACAAGCCAGCUGAAGGCCCUGAAUAUUGAAAUGCUGCCUGGAUAUCGAGAUCCCUACUCCUCCAGGCCUCUAACUAGGGGUGAAAUUGGCUGCUUCCUUAGCCACUACUCUGUCUGGAAAGAGGUAAUUGACCGAGAGCUGGAGAAGACUCUUGUUAUUGAGGAUGAUGUGCGUUUUGAACAUCAGUUUAAGAAGAAGCUCAUGAAGCUGAUGGAUGAUAUUGAUCGAGUCCAGCUGGAUUGGGAACUGAUUUAUAUUGGCAGGAAGAGGAUGCAACUAAAAGAGCCAGAGAAAGCUGUGCCCAAUGUGGUAAAUCUGGUCGAAGCUGACUAUUCUUACUGGACUCUGGGCUAUGUCAUCUCUCUGGAAGGAGCACAGAAGCUUGUUGGAGCCAGUCCUUUUGGGAAGAUGCUACCAGUGGAUGAGUUUCUGCCAAUCAUGUACAACAAGCAUCCUGUUGCUGAGUACAUGGAGCAUUACGAAUCCAGGGACUUGAAAGCCUUCUCUGCAGAACCCUUGCUCAUCUACCCAACACACUACACAGGCCAGCCAGGGUAUCUGAGUGACACGGAGACCUCAACCAUCUGGGACAAUGAGACAGUGGCCACUGACUGGGACAGGACACAUGCCUGGAAGUCCAGGAAGCAAGGUCACAUCUACCGCAAUGCCAAGAACACAGAGGCCCUGCCACCGCCAACCUCCCUGGACACUGUGCCUUCGAGAGAUGAGCUAUGAGGGCUCCAUGGGGGGUUUACUGCCCUUUCGUUUUCCUAAUGGGCUGUUGAUAUGUUUGUUCCAGUUUCUUUUCGUGGUCAUUAUCAUCUAACCAAAGUGGUCUAAUGUGAUUGAUCAAAAUUAGUAUGUUUUUGACAGGAGAAGAGAAUAGGGAAACUAAACCCAAAUUUCCUAGAUGGCUAGAAAAUAGGCUUUAUGGCAACCAUUAAGAUGAACUUCAAUCCAGACACCUUGUCCCUCAGUUCAUUACCCAUAUGAUACUGGUUCCCACAUUGAGGUUGAACAGCAUGGCUCAGAGAUUCGUCCAAGGGAAAGGUGAUCACCACACUAUCACAUCAAUAAAUGGGUAAGCCUGGCAGUCAAGUCAACUGGACCACGUCUAUUGGUCUAGUGGGCCCAUUUUAUGUCAUAGAUGUGACCUUGAAAACUUGAGUAUGUUCCAAGUUUGGGGUGUGGGGGAGGGGGAAUCAGAUCAUUUAAAAUCAAAUUAAUUGGGCUUUUUCUUUAAAGGCAUUUGCCAUGAGCCUUAUUGCAAAGUGACUUUUUCAUCUUAGUCCCCAUUACCCAACAGGGAUGGGUAGUUGGGUCUGUGUGUGACUUGGCAUUUGACUAUCAUGGCAAUUGAAGCUCCCAUGAAGAGGUGUCCAUUUGCCGUGAGGAUAUAGUUUCAUAGAUAUUUGAGGGUUUGUGUAGAUAUUUGAGGAAAACACUCAAACUUUGGCCUUCUUGAUUAUGGUCACUUGAGUUGGGAUGCUCUAUUUAUGAAGGUAAAUUUAAUAUAUAAGGGGCUGGGACUGGUGUGUAAUUGCUUUCCUGGGGGUUCAUGUGCUGCCCCAGCACGUCAGACUGUCCCCUCCUCCCUGAGCCUGGGAGUGAAUUGCAGGUGUGAGUUUUAUGAGUCACUGUUAAGAGGCAGAGCACGUUUUCAGGCCAGAAACAGUCCUUGCCUGGGAUUUUCAUUCUAUUUUGAAUUAUUUAUUUUACAAAAUGUGGGGGAAAUGUCUGUAGGAUAAGGCAGAGAAACAUAUGUGUCAGGCUUUUACUGCCCCCUGGGAAGUGGUGAGUGUAGACACGCUGGUUCCAGAAUCUGGUUCUUCUGCAUUUCCCAGCCUGACUCUUACAGGGAGGCCUGUUGAGUGGGAGAUUCUAACGUUCUGGAAACAAAUGAUUCUCCACCUCAGGUGAGAGACCUUGGUUAGAAACAAUGGACUGAUCAACUGAGUUAGACCAACAACCAGGGAAUCCUUGGAGUCAGGAUCCUGGGCAGACCACCUCUCUGCUUUCUUCAUAAAUGGAUUUUAUGUAAAAUGCAGAGUUGGACUACAUCAUCUGUUUCAGCUCCACAAUCUGUGAUCCUUGGAUAUCUCAUGAUGGUUUGCUUUAGGUUUCUGUUCUCAUGCCUGCAAGCAGUAAAACUUGGUCUCCAGAAAUCCCCUCCCCAAGCAUCCCGUCCACACACGCUCCUCUCUCCAUGUCCUGGGUGUUGACUCUGAGCUUCAUGCUUUGGAGCAGAACCCGUGGGUGGCCUUGCUGGGUGCACCAAGCUCCCUGCUCCCCAUGAGGGCCCCAGGCUGCAGGACAACCCGGCAGCUUCCUUCCACAGAACACCAGCCUUGGCCUUCCCUCUUGACUUAUGGUUGGUUCUUCUGCAUUGACCAAUAAGCCAGGAGACUGAGGGAAGGGAUCUCAGCUGCCUGAUUUUUACUGCUUAGACUUAGCUAUCAGAGCUUGACUCUUUGUCUAGAAAAACAGAGCAUCUGGGGAGCUAGUGAAAAACCCUUAGUCGAUUCCUAAGGUUUCCUUGGGUAUGUUGUACUUCGUUUGUGUAUUUGAGUGUGUGCAAAUGUGUGUGAAUUUCAUGUUUUUUUUUUUUUUAAAGGGGUGGGCAGUGGCUAUGGUAUUGGGAGUGGAGGAAGAUUUAAUUAAUUUUUGUGUGGUUAUGUUUCAUAGAGAAUAUUGGUGUUUUAUUUUUUCUUUUUCCCUGUCAGCUGGCCUGGUGGGUUUAUGAAUUCUCAUUCUUAAAAGACAUUGUUCAUAAAUUCUAGAAUUUUAGAUUAGGACUGUUCUACUGUGAAUAAAAUUCUGGCUCUGUUAGCCCAGCCGUUGCUUUUCUCCACUCAGGUCUAGAAUCCCAAGCAGUGUUCUUUCAUUGUGAACAUUGUGAGUUGCAGACGCAGCAUUUCUUUAGAAGGUCAUCUCUUCAGCAAUCCAGGGAUUCCUUGACCUCAUUAUUCUUUCCUGCCUCCCGUCUAGCCUUAAGUCAAGACAUUAGACCUUCGCAGUGUCAGAGGACUUUGCCUCCAUCAUGGCACCUGCUGUCUGCCUCUGGAAGUUAAACCCUCUCUGGAUCUUGAGAUCCAAGGUGUAAUCUUCUGGAUGGACGGCCCUGACUUCAGCAGUGCUGGUGCUGCUGAGUGUGGACUGAGUGUCUACAAUAUGCAGACGACACACCGCAUGGGCCUUGCUUUGUUCACUGGGGCCUGCUCCAGGAACUCUGGAAAAUAAGAGCCAGCAUCCCAGCAUCCUACACUGUCUUUCAUGCUCUGUCAUUUCAGGGUGGGGAAGUGAUAAACUACUUGCCUUCUAGAGCACUUUGUGAAAAAUUAAAAAACGUGCAACUCUAUGAUUGUUCAUUGGUUCCUCCAACGCUGGUCAACAGCCAACACUGCUGGAAUUUCCAGGUCUGCACUGGCCAAGGAUGUCAGAGGCCAAAGACAAUGCAGAGAUUUCCAGUAAAAUGUUGGUGUCGGAAACAAAAUUCCCAUUCAGCUACGCACAUGGGAAUAUUUUCACUUACAGUUGGAACAAAUCCAUCUAAUUAGGAACUGUAAGAUAAAGAUGAGUUUUCCCAAGAGGCUUCUACAAUGUGCUUUCAAGACAUUCUUUCCAACUGAUUAGAUCAAUUCGCUGACUUGCUGGAGGCUUGGAUGUCAGAUGUUAUAUAAACGAGGAUCAUCAGAAGUAGACAUCUGGGGGCAAGGUAUUAUUUAGAAUGCUUCUCCCAUUUAGAAUGCUUCUCCCAUUUUGAAACUGGUGCCUUGGUAUUGGGUUGGCCAAAAAGUUCGUUCGGGUAUUUCCAUGCGCUGGUAUGAAAAACCCGAACGAACUUUUGGGCCAACCCAUCUUUUUUUUAAAUGGCUGGAGCAAUCUAGAAACAGUUUAAAUCAUUUACUUCUCUUCUUUUUUCAACUUGAUUUACCAGUACCCUUUGUGUGGGAGAUUGUGACUGCAGCACAAAAUGUUGCU
This is an RNA transcript of Balaenoptera acutorostrata (minke whale), 5455 nucleotides long. It is a transcript of the gene named collagen beta(1-O)galactosyltransferase 2, with no coding region annotated. The transcript is spliced from 14 exons. The record is from RefSeq and is a predicted model, not a curated record. Lineage: Eukaryota; Metazoa; Chordata; Mammalia; Artiodactyla; Balaenopteridae.